CAGCCGCCGCGGUAAUACGAAGGGGGCUAGCGUUGCUCGGAAUGACUGGGCGUAAAGGGCGCGUAGGCGGCGAUCAAAGUCAGGCGUGAAAUUCCUGGGCUCAACUUGGGGGCUGCGUUUGAUACUUGAUUGCUAGAGUGGGGAAGAGGGUCGUGGAAUUCCCAGUGUAGAGGUGAAAUUCGUAGAUAUUGGGAAGAACACCGGUGGCGAAGGCGGCGACCUGGUCCUUGACUGACGCUGAGGCGCGAAAGCGUGGGGAGCAAACAGGAUUAGAUACCCCCGUAGUCCCUGUCUCUUAUAC
This 301-nucleotide ribosomal RNA is filed under the name uncultured bacterium. RNAcentral's name for it is "partial 16S ribosomal RNA". It matches the Rfam family "Bacterial small subunit ribosomal RNA", at positions 509 to 807 of the family's 1533-position model. The record is from RNAcentral.